Molecule: ribosomal RNA, 301 nt
Filed under: uncultured bacterium
Lineage: Bacteria
Description: partial 16S ribosomal RNA
Rfam family: Bacterial small subunit ribosomal RNA
Source: RNAcentral
CAGCAGCCACGGUAAAACGUAGGUGGCGAGCGUUGUCCGGAAUUAUUGGGCGUAAAGGGAGCGCAGGCGGGCGAGUAAGUCUUUCUUAAAAGUGCGGGGCUCAACCCCGUGAGGGGAGAGAAACUACUCAUCUUGAGUGCAGGAGAGGAAAGCGGAAUUCCUAGUGUAGCGGUGAAAUGCGUAGAUAUUAGGAAGAGCACCAGUGGCGAAGGCGGCUUUCUGGACUGUAACUGACGCUGAGGCUCGAAAGCCAGGGGAGCGAACGGGAUUAGAUACCCCCGUAGUCCCUGUCUCUUAUACA